UACGGAGGAUCCAAGCGUUAUCCGGAUUUAUUGGGUUUAAAGGGUGCGUAGGCGGAAUAGUAAGUUAGUGGUGAAAGCCUGCAGCUUAACUGUAGAAUUGCCAUUGAUACUGCUAAUCUUGAGUACAUAUGAAGUGGGCGGAAUGUGUCAUGUAGCGGUGAAAUGCUUAGAUAUGACACAGAACACCGAUUGCGAAGGCAGCUCACUAAACUGUAACUGACGCUGAGGCACGAAAGCAUGGGGAGCAAACAGG
RNAcentral lists this ribosomal RNA (253 nucleotides) under uncultured bacterium. Its description in RNAcentral is "partial 16S ribosomal RNA". It matches the Rfam family "Bacterial small subunit ribosomal RNA", at positions 524 to 776 of the family's 1533-position model. The record is from RNAcentral.